UUCAGGAGGUUUACCUUUGCA
Caenorhabditis elegans is the source of this 21-nucleotide non-coding RNA. The record is from Ensembl. Lineage: Eukaryota; Metazoa; Nematoda; Chromadorea; Rhabditida; Rhabditidae.